GAUGAACGCUAGCGGCAGGCUUAAUACAUGCAAGUCGAACGGGAUUCGGGGUAGCAAUACUUUGAUGAGAGUGGCGCACGGGUGCGUAACGCGUAUGCAACCUACCUUUAACAGGGGAAUAGCCCCGAGAAAUCGGGAUUAAUACUCCGUAACAUUGCGGUGUGGCAUCACACUGCAAUUAAAGAUUUAUCGGUUAAAGAUGGGCAUGCGUGACAUUAGCUAGUUGGUGAGGUAACGGCUCACCAAGGCAACGAUGUCUAGGGGUCCUGAGAGGGUUAUCCCCCACACUGGUACUGAGACACGGACCAGACUCCUACGGGAGGCAGCAGUAAGGAAUAUUGGUCAAUGGGCGCAAGCCUGAACCAGCCAUGCCGCGUGCAGGAAGACGGCCCUAUGGGUUGUAAACUGCUUUUAUCAGGGAAUAAACCCCCGCUCGUGAGCGGGGCUGAAGGUACCUGAAGAAUAAGCAUCGGCUAACUCCGUG
Molecule: ribosomal RNA, 484 nt
Filed under: uncultured organism
Description: bacterial SSU rRNA
Rfam family: Bacterial small subunit ribosomal RNA
Source: RNAcentral